AUGCACGCUGGCGGCGUGCCUAAUACCUGCCAGUCGAGCGAACAGAUGAGGAGCUUGCUCCUCCGACGUUAGCGGCGGACGGGUGAGUAACACGUGGAUAACCUACCUAUAAGACUGGGAUAACUUCGGGAAACCGGAGCUAAUACCGGAUAAUAUAUUGAACCGCAUGGUUCAAUAGUGAAAGACGGUUUUGCUGUCACUUAUAGAUGGAUCCGCGCCGCAUUAGCUAGUUGGUAAGGUAACGGCUUACCAAGGCAACGAUGCGUAGCCGACCUGAGAGGGUGAUCGGCCACACUGGAACUGAGACACGGUCCAGACUCCUACGGGAGGCAGCAGUAGGGAAUCUUCCGCAAUGGGCGAAAGCCUGACGGAGCAACGCCGCGUGAGUGAUGAAGGUCUUCGGAUCGUAAAACUCUGUUAUUAGGGAAGAACAAAUGUGUAAGUAACUAUGCACGUCUUGACGGUACCUAAUCAGAAAGCCACGGCUAACUACGUG
RNAcentral lists this ribosomal RNA (496 nucleotides) under uncultured bacterium. RNAcentral's name for it is "partial 16S ribosomal RNA". It matches the Rfam family "Bacterial small subunit ribosomal RNA", at positions 29 to 507 of the family's 1533-position model. The record is from RNAcentral.